GAUGAAGAACGUAGCGAAAUGCGAUAAGUAAUGUGAAUUGCAGAAUUCAGUGAAUCAUCGAAUCUUUGAACGCACAUUGCGCCCCCUGGUAUUCCGGGGGGCAUGCCUGUCCGAGCGUCAUUGCUGCCCUCAAGCACGGCUUGUGUGUUGGGCCCCGUCCUCCGAUCCCGGGGGACGGGCCCGAAAGGCAGCGGCGGCACCGCGUCCGGUCCUCGAGCGUAUGGGGCUUUGUCACCCGCUCUGUAGGCCCGGCCGGCGCUUGCCGAUCAACCCAAAUUUUUAUCCAGGUUGACCUCGGAUCAGGUAGGGAUACCCGCUGAACUUAAGCAUAUCAAUAAGCGGAGGA
Molecule: unclassified non-coding RNA, 346 nt
Filed under: soil metagenome
Description: partial contains 5.8S ribosomal RNA, internal transcribed spacer 2, and large subunit ribosomal RNA
Rfam family: 5.8S ribosomal RNA (bases 1-120)
Source: RNAcentral